Long non-coding RNA from Alnus glutinosa, 1961 nucleotides. RefSeq lists it as uncharacterized. NCBI's taxonomy places the organism in Eukaryota, Viridiplantae, Streptophyta, Magnoliopsida, Fagales, Betulaceae. The transcript has 2 exons. The record is from RefSeq and is a predicted model, not a curated record.
ACCAACGCACACUUUCUUCUUCUUUCUUCCUUUCUCUUCUACUUUUCUCCCUUCCCUCUGUUCUAACCACCCGAACACAGAGUGAGAGACGAGAGAGUGAGAUCGGGAGAUCAGAGAGAGAGUUGAGAGCAAAGAGAAGAGACUGAGAGAGCAGAGCGAUUGAGAGUGUGAGAGACCGAGUAAAAGGGAGAGGUCGGGAGAGAAGGAGAGUCAGAGAUCGAGAGAGAGAUCGGACCUCGAUCCUCCGGGGGAUGACGCCGGUGAAGCAAGGUGGCGCCGACGAGACCAGAGAACGCCGGCGACGCGAUCUCCAGUGAGCCUGUGACCCAUAUGGGUGUGAAACCCGUGCAACCCGUGACCCAGUGAUCCACGACCCGUGAAACCCGACCCUCUAGAACCAGUUUUCCGGCGAUUUCGAGAUGAUUUCCGGCGACUCCAGGGUAUUUUCGGCGAAGACCCACUGAACCACGAAGACCCAUAACCCGAAAGGCCCAGAGACCCGAUCCUCCCUGUGUGGUUUUCCAGUGAGUCCUCCGACGAACCAGAGUUGAUUUCCGGUGGUUCUUGAGCUCCAUGUUAUUAGGAUAGUGUCCGGAUUGGAGUCUUUAAUGGGUUCUCCAAUGUAGAGUUCGAGUCAUGGUCCAAUGCAGCCAAGGUGAGUAUUCUACUCACUGAGAAGUAUUAUUUUCAUAAAUGAUGAAUUGCAAAAUAUAUAUUGUUUUACAAAUCUGAACCAACUGUAUGUUGAUUAUGAAUUGUUUUGGAUGAUUUGAGUACUUUGGAGUAUAUUGAAAUAUUGAUGAUGUUUUGAACUAUGAAUAUGAUUGGUGAGUUUAGAGUGAGUAUAAAGAUUUAAGUUAUGCAAAUUGUUAAAGAAAUGACAUGUUGAAUUGAUUAUGUUUUGUAAAGAAAGCAUGUGUUAAAGUCAUGAUUAUGAAAUUAAAUGUAUAGUAUUUGAGCACGAGCAUUGAGCAUGGCACGAACAAGACCGGGGUUCAAUUCUCUUAAGCAUACGAACAAGACCGGGGUUCAAUUCCCUUAGGCAUACGACAAGACCGGGGUUCAAUUCCCUUAGGCAAACGUACGACACGCAUGCACAGCAUUUGUUUCAUGAUAAUUGAAUUGUUUUCAUGUUUUUGAUAUAUAGUAGUUUUAUGCUAGACGUAUUAAUAUGCAUAAGAAUCUCAAUGGAAAAGAGCUUAUGUAUGUUUCUAUCGGAUGGCCACACGUUUUAUAUAUAUGGUAGUUUUGCUAGACGUAUUAGUAUGCAUAAGAGUCUCAAUGGAAAAGAACUUAUGUAUAUUUAUAUCGGGUGGUUGCAUGUUUUAAAUGCCAUUAUUUUCUAAGUCUUACUAGAUCAAAGGUAAUAUAGUAGGUGAGGAUGUAUGUAGUGUAUCCAACAAUGGAACUUCUACGUAUAAGCUCAACUGCGUAGUAUACUUUAAAUGUUUUCUAUUAGCCGGUGUUUGCUAUAUCAGCUAUGGGGGUUUUCAAACAAAAGCUUAUAAAAUUGGUAGUUGUUAUAGUGUACGCAUGACUAGAAAUGAAAAGUUGGUUCUUUGCGAAAACUCAGUGAAUAGUAUACCUCUGAGGUCUUAGUGUAUUUAUGUAUGCUAAGACGGUGGGCUCAUAAUUCCACCUAUACGGAUGUGGCAAACCCCCACAAUCGUAUAGAUUUUCCUUUGGCUGCAGGUACCCCGGUCGUAGGGGAGAGUGUUGUAGGUGCAUUUGGGAUGAUAUGACCGAAGCUCGUCGCGAUGGUCGUAAUGGUUGGACCACAGUUGUCCACUAUUUUAUAGGUUUGUUUAUGGCUUGUGACGCUUUGGUCACUUGUUAUUGUAUAAGCCAUUCCUGUUGUCUAAAUAUGUUGAGAAGACUUAAACAUAUAGAUGUUAAAUGGCUCUGUAUUGUAAAUAAUUUGUAAUAGAUGUAUAAGCUAUACUUUUCACUAUUCAGGUUUA